This 727-nucleotide ribosomal RNA is filed under the name uncultured bacterium. Its description in RNAcentral is "bacterial SSU rRNA". It matches the Rfam family "Bacterial small subunit ribosomal RNA", at positions 62 to 801 of the family's 1533-position model. The record is from RNAcentral.
UUGAGCGGAGAUAUAUGGAGCUUGCUUUAUAUAACUUAGCAGCGAACGGGUGAGUAACACGUAGAUAAUCUAUCCUAUACUGGGGGAUAGCCCGAUGAAAGUUGGAUUAAUACCGCAUAUAGCUAUAUAGUUGCAUGAUUAUGUAGUGAAAGAUUUAUUGGUAUAGGAGGAGUCUGCGGCACAUUAGCUAGUAGGUGAGGUAAAGGCUUACCUAGGCGACGAUGUGUAGCCGGUCUGAGAGGAUGAACGGCCACAAUGGAACUGAGACACGGUCCAUACUCCUACGGGAGGCAGCAGUGGGGAAUAUUGCACAAUGGGGGAAACCCUGAUGCAGCAACGCCGCGUGAGUGAAGAAGGUUUUCGGAUUGUAAAGCUCUGUUAGCAGGGAAGAGGAAGGACGGUACCUGCAGAGGAAGCCACGGCUAACUACGUGCCAGCAGCCGCGGUAAUACGUAGGUGGCAAGCGUUGUUCGGAAUGACUGGGCGUAAAGGAUGCGUAGGCGGUUAAACAAGUUAUAUGUUAAAUAUAUAGGCUUAACCUGUAGAAAGCAUAUAAAACUGUUUAACUAGAGUGCAGGAGAGGUAAGUGGAAUUCCUAGUGUAGCGGUGAAAUGCGUAGAGAUUAGGAAGAACACCAGUGGCGAAGGCGACUUACUGGACUGUAACUGACGCUGAGGCAUGAGAGCAUGGGGAGCANACAGGAUUNGAUACCCUGGUAGUCCAUGCU